Molecule: ribosomal RNA, 539 nt
Filed under: uncultured bacterium
Lineage: Bacteria
Description: bacterial SSU rRNA
Rfam family: Bacterial small subunit ribosomal RNA
Source: RNAcentral
GAGGAAUAUUGGUCAAUGGGCGAGAGCCUGAACCAGCCAAGUAGCGUGCAGGAUGACGGCCCUAUGGGUUGUAAACUGCUUUUGUAUGGGGAUAAAGUCAAUCACGUGUGAUUGUUUGCAGGUACCAUACGAAUAAGGACCGGCUAAUUCCGUGCCAGCAGCCGCGGUAAUACGGAAGGUCCGGGCGUUAUCCGGAUUUAUUGGGUUUAAAGGGAGUGUAGGCUGGAGAUUAAGUGUGUUGUGAAAUGUAGACGCUCAACGUCUGACUUGCAGCGCAUACUGGUUUCCUUGAGUACGCACAACGUUGGCGGAAUUCGUCGUGUAGCGGUGAAAUGCUUAGAUAUGACGAAGAACUCCGAUUGCGAAGGCAGCUGACGGGAGCGCAACUGACGCUGAAGCUCGAAGGUGCGGGUAUCGAACAGGAUUAGAUACCCUGGUAGUCCGCACAGUAAACGAUGGAUGCCCGCUGUUGGUACCUGGUAUCAGCGGCUAAGCGAAAGCAUUAAGCAUCCCACCUGGGGAGUACGCCGGCAACGGUG